GUUAGAUAUAUUUUAUUUUAAUUAUAAAAAUUUAGUUUACAUGAAUAUUAAUAAAAAUAAUUUUUAUUUUAGUAAUUUUUAGUGAAUACAUGAAUUAUAUUUAUAGUUUAAAGUACUGUAAAGGAAUCUUAUAUUUAUUUUUAGAAGGAGAUUUAAUAAUUGUACCUUUUGUAUCAGGGUUUACUUAAUUAAAACUAUUAUUAUUUGUUAAUCCCGAAAUUAUAAGAGAUAAAUAUUAGAUUAAUUUAAUGUUAUAUAUUUAUUUUAUACUAGUAUUUAGGGGUUAUAUGCCAUUCAUUUAUAAAUAUCUGGUUCUUUAAGAAUUGAAUUUAAUUCAUCUAUAACACAUUUAUAAUAAUUAUUUUAUUUUUUAUAACUUUUAUAGUAAUAUUUGGGGGGAUAAGCUCUCAUAUAUUUUUAUAAAUAUUUAGGAUAUUAAAUUAGGUAGGAUUGAUAAUUUCUUUCAUUUAUUUUGUUAAAAUUAUAUUUUUCUUAAAUUAAUAUUUAAUGUUAUUUUAAUUUUAUAUUAAGGUAUAUUUAUUUAAUUUAUAAUUAAUAAAAAUAAUGGUAAAAUUAGUAUAAAUAAUUAUUUUAUAAAUAGUAACUCGGCAAAUAUAAUAUUCACCUGUUUAACAAAAACAUGUCCUAAUGGAAUAUAUAUUAGGUCGGGCCUGCUCAGUGAUUUAUUUAAACAGCUGCAGUAAUUUGACUGUGCAAAGGUAGCAUAAUCAUUUGUCUUUUAAUUGAAGGCUGGUAUGAAUGGUUUAAUGAAAUAUUAACUUUCUUUUUAUAUUAUUUUUGAACUUUAUUUUUGUGUGAAAAAGCAUAAAUGUUUUUGUAGGACGAGAAGACCCUAUAGAAUUUUAAUUAGGCAUAAAUUAUUUAUAUCUUUGAUUAUUAUGAAUUAAUAAGAUGUGUUAUAUUUUUGUUGGGGUGACAGAAAAAUGUUAAUAACUUUUUUUAUAAAGUUUUUACUAAUAUGUAUAUAAAUGAUCCUAUUUUUAGAUUAUAAGAUUAAAUUACCUUAGGGAUAACAGCGUAAUUUUAUUGGAGAGUUCUUAUCGAUAAUAUAGUUUGCGACCUCGAUGUUGGAUUAAAAUUAGAAUUUGGUGUAGAAGCUAUUUUUCUAGGUCUGUUCGACCUUUAAAAUUUUACAUGAUCUGAGUUCAGACCGGCGUGAGCCAGGUUGGUUUCUAUCCUCAAUUAUUAUUAUUAUUUUAGUACGAAAGGACCAAAUAUUAUAAAUAUUUUAUA
RNAcentral lists this ribosomal RNA (1254 nucleotides) under Urostylis sp. HL-2012. RNAcentral describes it as "16S ribosomal RNA". The stretch from base 836 to 1203 matches the Rfam family "Archaeal large subunit ribosomal RNA", at positions 2150 to 2716 of the family's 2987-position model. The record is from RNAcentral. Lineage: Eukaryota; Metazoa; Arthropoda; Insecta; Hemiptera; Urostylididae.